Molecule: ribosomal RNA, 768 nt
Filed under: uncultured Enterobacteriaceae bacterium
Lineage: Bacteria; Pseudomonadati; Pseudomonadota; Gammaproteobacteria; Enterobacterales; Enterobacteriaceae
Description: bacterial SSU rRNA
Rfam family: Bacterial small subunit ribosomal RNA
Source: RNAcentral
UGGACAGUACUGACGCUGAGAUGCGAAAGCGUGGGGGGCAAACAGGAUUAGAUACCUGGUAGUCACGCUGUAAACGAUGUCGAUUUGGAGUUUGUUGCCUAGAGUGAUGGGCUCCGAAGCUAACGCGAUAAAUCGACCGCUGGGGAGUACGGCCGCAAGGUUAAAACUCAAAUGAAUUGACGGGGGCCCGCACAAGCGGUGGAGCAUGUGGUUUAAUUCGAUGCAACGCGAAGAACCUUACCUGGUCUUGACAUCCAUAGAAUUCUGCAGAGAUGUGGGAGUGCCUUCGGGAACUAUGAGACAGGUGCUGCAUGGCUGUCGUCAGCUCGUGUUGUGAAAUGUUGGGUUAAGUCCCGUAACGAGCGCAACCCUUAUUCUUUGUUGCCAGCGAUUUGGUCGGGAACUCAAAGGAGACUGCCGUUGAUAAAGCGGAGGAAGGUGGGGACGACGUCAAGUCAUCAUGGCCCUUACGACCAGGGCUACACACGUGCUACAAUGGCGUAUACAAAGGGAAGCGAAGGUGCGAGCUGGAGCGGAUCUCAUAAAGUACGUCUAAGUUCGGAUUGGAGUCUGCAACUCGACUCCAUGAAGUCGGAAUCGCUAGUAAUCGUAGAUCAGAAUGCUACGGUGAAUACGUUCCCGGGCCUUGUACACACCGCCCGUCACACCAUGGGAGUGGGUUGCACCAGAAGUAGAUAGCUUAACCGCGAGGGGGGCGUUUACCACGGUGUGAUUCAUGACUGGGGUGAAGUCGUAACAAGGUAACCA